CGCGUAGGCGGUUGUGUUAGUCAGAUGUGAAAUACUUCAGCUCAACUGAAGAAAUGCAUUUGAUACUGCAUAACUAGAGUACAGGAGAGGGAAAUGGAAUUCCCGGUGUAGAGGUGAAAUUCGUAGAUAUCGGGAGGAACACCAGUGGCGAAGGCGAUUUCCUGGCCUGAUACUGACGCUGAGGCGCGAAAGCGUGGGGAGCAAACAG
Molecule: ribosomal RNA, 208 nt
Filed under: uncultured bacterium
Lineage: Bacteria
Description: partial 16S ribosomal RNA
Rfam family: Bacterial small subunit ribosomal RNA
Source: RNAcentral